GACGAACGCUGGCGGCGUGCUUAACACAUGCAAGUCGAACGAAGAGCGAUGGAAGCUUGCUUCUAUCAAUCUUAGUGGCGAACGGGUGAGUAACGCGUAAUCAACCUGCCCUUCAGAGGGGGACAACAGUUGGAAACGACCGCUAAUACCGCAUAACAUUGCCGAACGGCAUCGUUUGGCAAUCAAAGGAGCAAUCCGCUGAAAGAUGGGCUCGCGUCUGAUUAGAUAGUUGGUGAGGUAACGGCUCACCAAGUCGACGAUCAGUAGCCGGACUGAGAGGUUGAUCGGCCACAUUGGGACUGAGACACGGCCCAGACUCCUACGGGAGGCAGCAGUGGGGGAUAUUGGACAAUGGGGGAAACCCUGAUCCAGCGAUGCCGCGUGAGGGAAGAAGGUUUUCGGAUUGUAAACCUCUGUGGACAGGGACGAUAAUGACGGUACCUGUUUAGAAAGCCAACGGCUAACUACGUGCCAGCAGCCGCGGU
This 485-nucleotide ribosomal RNA is filed under the name uncultured bacterium. RNAcentral's name for it is "bacterial SSU rRNA". It matches the Rfam family "Bacterial small subunit ribosomal RNA", at positions 28 to 521 of the family's 1533-position model. The record is from RNAcentral.